UUUAGAGUAAUAUGAGCUUUGAACUUGUAAUUUGGUAAUUAUAAAAUUACCCUCUAAAA
Molecule: transfer RNA, 59 nt
Filed under: Pediculus schaeffi
Lineage: Eukaryota; Metazoa; Arthropoda; Insecta; Psocodea; Pediculidae
Description: tRNA-Gln
Source: RNAcentral